GACGAACGCUGGCGGCGUGCUUAACACAUGCAAGUCCAACGAAGUGGCGAACGGUUGUGUAAUACGUGGGUCACCUGCCCUCCUUUUCGUGAUAAGCCUUGGAAACGUGGUCUAAUUCCGCAUACAGGUGAAUGGGCUCGCGGCCUAUAAGCUUGUUGUUGGGGUGAUGGCCAACCUAGGCGGUGACGGGUAGCCGGCCUAAUAGGGUGAGCGGCUGCAUUGGGACUGUGAUACGGCCCAGACUCCUACUGAAGGCAGCUGUGGGGGCUAUUGCCAGAUGGGGGAAAGUCUGAUGCAGCGACGCGGUGUGGGGGAUGGAGGCUGGCGGGUUGUAAACCUCUUUGGCUAUCGAACGGGUAGGUGGAGAAGAAUCGCCGGCUAACUACGGGCCAGCAGCCGAGGUAAUAC
RNAcentral lists this ribosomal RNA (408 nucleotides) under uncultured bacterium. Its description in RNAcentral is "partial 16S ribosomal RNA". It matches the Rfam family "Bacterial small subunit ribosomal RNA", at positions 28 to 526 of the family's 1533-position model. The record is from RNAcentral.